RNAcentral lists this ribosomal RNA (253 nucleotides) under uncultured bacterium. Its description in RNAcentral is "partial 16S ribosomal RNA". It matches the Rfam family "Bacterial small subunit ribosomal RNA", at positions 524 to 776 of the family's 1533-position model. The record is from RNAcentral.
GACAGAGGUGCCGAGCGUUAGGCGGAAUCACUGGGCUUAAAGCGUGUGUAGGCGGGUCGUUAAGUGUCUUGUGAAAUCCCCCGGCUCAACCGGGGAAUGGCUGGGCAUACUGGCGAUCUUGAGCAGUCUAGGGGCAGAUGGAACAAGUGGUGGAGCGGUGAAAUGCGUAGAGAUCGGGAGGAACAUCCAUGGCGAAGGCAGCUACCUGGACCAACACUGACACUGAGGCACGAAAGCGUGGGGAGCAAACAGG